Drosophila santomea is the source of this 1325-nucleotide long non-coding RNA. RefSeq lists it as uncharacterized. The record is from RefSeq and is a predicted model, not a curated record. The transcript is spliced from 2 exons. NCBI's taxonomy places the organism in Eukaryota, Metazoa, Arthropoda, Insecta, Diptera, Drosophilidae.
AAAGUAAAUUUAAGAAAUUACUACCUCAAAAUAUUUUGUUUUUUUUUUCAGUUGAAGUUUGUAGUAGUUUAUUGAAGUAGUACUCUAACUUUUAGAUAGCUAGUAUACUUCCGAGCAUAUUGAGAUAUGGGAAGAUCCACCUGAAUACUCACCAGAUAAAGAUCUCCACCCAAGCCGCAUCGCUUUACCAACUUCGCAAAUCCUUCGAUGAAUGCUAAACAAAUUUCUCACACACCUGAAAUUUUGCUCAACCGGAUCGAAGGCCAUAAUGGUAACGGUUCAGCAAGAUACAGGCGCGAAUGAAAUAUGCCGCCAAAGGACUUGGACACAACCAGGACAAAUGAAUCACCAAGUAGAUAUCACUAGCACUGGAACUGCGUGUGGCACUGGAACCGGGACCGCAACUUUUCCUGGCCACGCUCGGAUUCGAACUGAUGGCCAGAAGUCAGCGCCAGUCUGUAGGUAGCCACUUGUGAUCAACCCGGACCCGGGCGACCCAUCUAACUAUGUGAAAGCGCAUUAGAACUGGAGAAUCGACUCGACUCGACUCGGCGCAGAACAAAAGGAAGCGCUGACAAUGCCGGCUGCCUGGUUGGCUGAGUGCCUCGGUUGGGGUUGGCUGGCUGGCACUGGCAAUGGGAUUUGGGACUGGGACUGAUGGACAGACGGAACGGAGCGGACCGGCUGACUGGCUGAAUGGCCAAGUGGAAGCGGAGCGACAGCUGACACCAUCGGCGAACGCGCCUUUUUAACGAGCGACCAGCGCGACCCCGACUAGUAUCACCCGACCCGGAGUGAUUACAUAGAGCCCAGAUGGAAUUGGAAUUGGAAUCGGCAGUGAAGACGGAGAUGCCUCUGCCCCCGAGGUCUCAUGACGUGUGCCCGCCCAGAGACUGGGCUCGGACCUAUAGCAACCGCGGGAUCCUGGCAUAUAUCCUGCCAUUUAUACGCAGCUCUAAAUAAAUGGGUUAAUGACUUGGCAAAUGCAUAUCCUAAUUAAAUUUGGGUCCCACGAGCAGCUUGAAGUUAAAAAAAAAGUAAUUGAAUAACCCACUUUUAGAAGCAGAAAUCCCACCUCUUAGCCAUGAGAUAAAAAUAUAGCUAUUUAGUGAAGAAAUUAUAAAUCAGCUCAUGUGAAGAGCUGUAUUUACACUUAAUUAAAAUAUUAUAUUGUAUUUAGACAUUAUUUGCAUUUCAGUAACUUUAAAUCUGAAAUAUAUCUGCCCUGAAACUUAAAAAAGUACACCAUUCUUCUUAAAAGGCUUUUACAUUUCGAGCUUAAAUUCUAAAAUCAACUACAGAAAUAAAAUUUAUACUCAAGAGGA